This 253-nucleotide ribosomal RNA is filed under the name uncultured bacterium. Its description in RNAcentral is "partial 16S ribosomal RNA". It matches the Rfam family "Bacterial small subunit ribosomal RNA", at positions 524 to 776 of the family's 1533-position model. The record is from RNAcentral.
UACGAGAGGCGCAAACGUUAUUCGGAAUUACUGGGCUUAAAGAGUUCGUAGGCGGCGCAGAAAGUAGGGUGUGAAAGCCCUCGGCUCAACCGAGGAAUUGCGCUCUAAACUACUGUGCUUGAGGGACCUAGAGGUGAGCGGAACUGAUGGUGGAGCGGUGAAAUGCGUAGAUAUCGGAAGGAACAUCAGUGGCGAAAGCGACUUCCUGGACCAAUACUGACGCUCAUGUGCGAAAGCGUGGGGAGCAAACAGG